AUUAAUACAAUUUAUUAUCACAAUCCUCAAAACACCCCAUAAUAUCUUCAAUGAGCUGAAUUUUUCAAGCCCAGAAUGGUUUCUGUAGCUCAAAGUUUGUGGGUGGAGAUAGGUGGUGAAGCAGACACAUAUUAACUGUGUGUACAAGCAGCUGAACUGCAAGGUGGACCUCAAAAAGCAACAAGUACAAGAAUGUGUGUGUGUGUGUGUCUCGUUAAUGACUGCAUCCUAAACAGCUGUGAGAUCAAAGGCAAAUCACUAACCUACUGUUUGACUGAGAGGUGCUGAACUGCAGUGAAUUUCAGCCUGUGAACUUCUUCACAUAGCGUGAUUUCCUUAAGUCCCAGAAUGAAAAUAAGAACAUCGUACGAAUCCUCCGUCCUUCAUGAACACAAUGAUGUGUUUUUCAUGUCUGUACUUCGAAAAAUGUGGCCACAACAGCGAGUUAAAAAAGUCUGAGCCUCAGUGGCGAUAAGGAUUUUCUUGGAGAAAAAAGACAUUAGGGCCAAUGGGGACAGUUUUCCGCCUAUUUGGACAGUUGGUCACCUGCUGGCCAAGGGGUAGGAUUUAAUGAUUUGAAACCUCUUUUGUGAGAAGCAGGACACAUAUACCUCCAUUUUGAUGUAUUUUUUAUGGCUGUGGAGUGAGAUUUGUGGGCGUGGGAGCGAUAUAUUCGAGCGAGGUUCUGUCGAUCAGAGACGAGGUCUGCACUCUAGCUUUUCAAAUCAUCACUCUAGCCUCUCCAAUACACCCCUAUUAUAAAGCCUGAAAUCUGCUGAAAACCACAAGUUACAUAAAGCUAAAUUGUGGAAAAACUGUAAAAGAUAGCACAAAAAGGUUAAUACAACAUCAAUAGUCGACAAGACAAUGAACAUUUUAAAGCAAAAAUGAGGUCUCUAGGUGAAAGUAUGCUGAAGUUAUAAGGUGUAGAAGGUGGACGAAUAACAGGAAGAAUUGAAAGAUUUCCCCAUUCAUUUCUAUGGGGAAAAAAGUUUGGCACAAAAAGUGAAAAAUAAUAAAAAGUAUAAAGGGUAGAAAAGAGAAAAGUAAUAGCCAUCAUGUCCUGAUGGAGCGGAAUAGUUUAAAGUUUGAACGGUUGAAAUCGGACAAAGUUUGAAGGAGGAGAAGCGGUCCAAAGAAACGUAUGGGGAGAGUGUUAAGUAUAAUACUAGAAAAAUUGCAUUUCCUUGCAGAAAAUGCGUGGAAAUGCUGAGUGCUGAAAGCUGAAAAAGCAAUGCUAAACUGCUAAUAAAACAUGGAGAAAGGUAUAAAUGUUAAAGCUGUUGAAGGAAUGAAAAAGAAAAAUAAGUUGGAUAACUACUUAAUUGGUUGAAGGACAAAUAGUAUGAAUAUGCUCUAUAAAAGGAAAUUUUAUUCAUGCUGAAAGAGGCUAGAAAAAUGUCUAAAAUUGCACAAAGUUUGAAUGAAGAAGGAAAUUGCCUUAAAAGGCAGGAAGGUGAGAAGUGGCAUAAGUUUAAAAUGUAGUAUAAGAAGUCAAGUCGUGAUACUAGUAGUCAUGUCAGCAGUAGAAGUAGAUUGAGAAUAAAAGAAGUAUAAGUCAAAGUAGUAAAGAAAGUAGAAAUAGGAGCAAUAGCAGUUGAAGUAGAGGGGAAAGUUCUAGUUUAAUUGACAUUAGCAGUAGUUGUCGUACUUGAGGUAGGAUUUUGUUUGAAUGAUGGAGUAAUGCAUAAAUAUUAAAACUAAUUUAAAACAGGGAAAAUUUAAAUUAUCAAAAGUCCUCAAGUAUCAGAAAGUUUUGAAGUAUUAGAAAGGUUUGAAUCAGUUUGAAUGAGUUUAAAUUAGUUUGAAAAAUUAAAUGAUAAAUCAUCACUGACUGACUUUUAAAAUGUGAAAAAUUUAAAUGAAUAACAAUCCUAAAUACACCCAAUAAUGUCCUCAAUGAGCUUAAAUUUCAAAGCCCUGAAUGGUUUCUGUAGGUCAAAGGUCAUGUGAGGAGAUAGGGGCUGAAGUUUUUUCCAACGCUCUAGGAAAGGGUUUUAAGUGUCAUCCCAAUUGCUAUGUGUACUGAGCCUGGCUUCAUGUGUCUCAUAUGGCCACUAGAAGCAGCUUUCCAGUCAGCUGUGUGUCUCCAGGUGCACAAAUUGGUUGCCAUGGGGACCUUGGAUGCAUAACUAUAGCAGGAGAAAGAAGGCUUGAAGCUAAAGAAACAGGACUCCAAGUAGGCCCUGACGCUCACCCUCUGUAUAUAUUCAUAAGGAGCUUGUGAGAACACAAGAUUUUGCUGAACACAUUAAUACAAUUUAUUAUCACAAUCCUCAAAACACCCCAUAAUAUCUUCAAUGAGCUGAAUUUUUCAAGCCCAGAAUGGUUUCUGUAGCUCAAAGUUUGUGGGUGGAGAUAGGUGGUGAAGCAGACACAUAUUAUCUGUGUGUACAAGCAGGUGAACUGCAAGGUAGACCUGACAAGGCAACAAGUACAAGAAUGUGUGUGUGUGUGUGUCUCAUUAAUGACUGCAUCCCUAACAGCUGUGAGAUCAAAGGCAAAUCACUGACCUACUGUUUGAAUGAGAAGCAGCUGAACAGCAGAGGAUUUGAAGCCUGUGAACUUCUUCACAUAGCGUGAUUUCCUUAAGUCCCAGAAUGAAAAUAAGAACAUCGUACGAAUCCUCCGUCCUUCAUGAACACAAUGAUGUGUUUUUCAUGUCUGUACUUCGAAAAAUGAGGCCACAACAGCGAGUUAAAAAAGUCUGAGCCUGAGCGAUGAUCCGGAUUUUCCUGGAGAAAAAUAACAUUAUGGUCAAUGGGAGAGAUUUCCGCCUUCCUUGGACAGUUGGUCACCUGCUGGCCAAGGGGUACGAUUUAAUGAUUUGAAACCUCUUUUGUGAGAAGCAGGACACAUAUACCUCCAUUUUGAUCUAUUAUUUAUGGCUGUGGAGUGAGAUUUGUGGGCGUGGGAGCGAUAUAUUCGAGCGAGGUUGUGUUGAUCAGAGACGAGGUCUGCACUCUAGCUGAUGACAUCAUCACUCUAGCCUCUCCAAUACACCCCUAUUAUAAAGCCUGAAAUUUGCUGAAAACCGCAAGUUGCAUAAAGCUAAAUUGUGGAAAAACUGUAAAAGAUAGCACAAAAAGGUUAAUACAAUAUCAAUAGUCGACAAGACAAUGAACAUUUUAAAGCAAAAAUUAGGUCUCUAGGUGAAAGUAUGCUGAAGUUAUAAGGCUUAGAAGGUGGACGAAUAACAGGAAGAAUUGAAAGAUUUCCCCAUUCAUUUCUAUGGGAAAAAAAGUUUGGCACAAAAAGUGAAAAAUAAUAAAAAGUAUAAAGGGUAGAAAAGAGAAAAGUAAUAGCCAUCAUGUCCUGAAGGAGUGGAAUAGUUUAAAGUUUGAACGGUUGAAAUCGGACAAAGUUUGAAGGAGGAGAAGCGGUCCAAAGAAACGUAUGGGGAGAGUGUUAAGUAUAAUACUAGAAAAAUUGCAUUUCCUUGCAGAAAAUGCGUGGAAAUGCUGAGUGCUGAAAGCUGAAAAAGCAAUGCUAAACUGCUAAUAAAACAUGGAGAAAUGUAUAAAUGUUAAAGCUGUUGAAGGGGUGUGAAAGAAAUGUAAGUUGGAUAAUUGAUUAAUUGGUUGAAGGACAAAUAGUAUGAAUAUGCUCUAUAAAAAGAAAUUUUAUUCAUGCUGAAAGAGGCUAGAAAAAUGUCUAAAAUUGCACAAAGUUUGAAUGAAGAAGGAAAUUGCCUCAAAAGGCAGGAAAGUGAGAAGUGGUAUAAGAUUAAUUUUUUAAGUAUUAGAAAGGUUUGAAUCAGUUUAAAUGAGUUCAAAUUAGUUUGAAUAAUUAAAUGAUAAAUCAUCACUGACUGACUUUUAAAAUGUGAAAAAUUUAAAUGAAUAACAAUCCUAAAUACACCCAAUAAUGUCCUCAAUGAGCUCAAAUUUUAAAGCCCUGAAUGGUUUCUGUAGGUCAAAGGUCAUGUGAGGAGAUAGGGGCUGAAGUUUUUUCAAGCGCUCUAGUAAAGGGUUUUAAGUGUCAUCCCCAGUGCUAUGUGUGCUGAGUCUGGCUUCAUGUGUCUCAUAUGGCCAUUAGAAGCAGCUUUCCAGUCAGCUGUUAGUCUCCAGGUGCACUAAUUGGUUGCCAUGGGGACCUUGGAUGCAUAACUAUAGCAGGAGAAAGAAGGCUUGAAGCUAAGGAAACAGGACUCCAAGUAGGCCCUGACGCUCAUCCUCUGUAUCUAUUCCUGAUAAGGAGCUUGUGAGAACACAAGACUCUGCUAAACACAUUAAUACAAUUUAUUAUCACAAUCCUCAAAACACCCCAUAAUAUCUUCAAUGAGCUGAAUUUUAGAAGCCCAGAAUGGUUUCUGUAGCUCAAAGUUUGUGGGUGGAGAUAGGUGGCGAAGCAGACACAUAUUAACUGUGUGUACAAGCAGCUGAACUGCAAGGUAGACCUCAUAAAGCAACAAGUACAAGAAUGUGUGUGUGUGUGUGUGUGUGUGUGUCUCGUUAAUGACUGCAUCCUAAACAGCUGUAAGAUCAAAGCCAUGAACUGACCUAUUGUUUGAAUGGAGAAGCUGCUGAACUGCAGUGAAUUUAGGGUUCUGAACUUCUUCACAUAGCACGAUUUCCUUAAGUCCCAGAAUGAAAAUAAGAACAUCGUACAAAUCCUCCGCCCUUCAUGAACACAAUGAUGUGUUUUUCAUGUCUGUACUCCGAAAAAUGUGGCUACAACAGCGAGUUAAAAAAGUCUGAGCCUGAGUGGCGAUAAGGAUUUUCUUGGAGAAAAAAUACAUUAGGGCCAAUGGGGAGAGAUUUCCGCCUAUUUGGACAGUUGGUCACCUGCUGGCCAAGGGGUAGGAUUUAAUGAUUUGAAACCUCUUUUGUGAGAAGCAGGACACAUAUACCUCCAUUUUGAUGUAUUUUUUAUGGCUGUGGAGUGAGAUUUGUGGGCGUGGGAGCGAUAUAUUCGAGCGAGGUUCUGUCGAUCAGAGACGAGGUCUGCACUCUAGCUUUUCAAAUCAUCACUCUAGCCUCUCCAAUACACCCCUAUUAUAAAGCCUGAAAUUUGCUGAAAACCACAAGUUGCAUAAAGCUAAAUUGUGGAAAAACUGUAAAAGAUAGCACAAAAAGGUUAAUACAACAUCAAUAGUCGACAAGACAAUGAACAUUUUAAAGCAAAAAUGAGGUCUCUAGGUGAAAGUAUGCUGAAGUUAUAAGGCUUAGAAGGUGCACGAAUAACAGGAAGAAUUGGAAGAUUUCCCCAUUCAUUUCUAUGGGAAAAAAGUUUGGAACAAAAAGUGAAAAAUAAUAAAAAGUACAAAGGAUAGAAAGGAAAAAAAUACAAGCACACAUGUCCUGAUGGAGUGGAAUAGUUUAAAGUUUGAACGGUUGAAAUCGGACAAAGUUUGAAGGAGGAGAAGCGGUCCAAAGAAACGUAUGGGGAGAGUGUUAAGUAUAAUACUAGAAAAAUUGCAUUUCCUUGCAGAAAAUGCGUGGAAAUGCUGAGUGCUGAAAGCUGAAAAAGCAAUGCUAAACUGCUAAUAAAACAUGGAGAAAGGUAUAAAUGUUAAAGCUGUUGAAGGGGUGAACAGAAAUAUAAGUUGGAUAAUUGAUUAAUUGGUUGAAGGACAAAUAGUAUGAAUAUGCUCUAUAAAAGGAAAUUUUAUUCAUGCUGAAAGAGGCUAGAAAAAUGUCGAAAAUUGCACAAAGUUUGAAUGAAGAAGGAAAUUGCCUUAAAAGGCAGGAAGGUGAGAAGUGGCAUAAGUUUAAAUUGUAGUACUAGAAGUAGUAUGAUAAGAAGUCAAGUUGUGAUACUAGUAGUCAUGUCAGCAGUAGAAGUAGAUUGAGAAUAAAAGAAGUAUAAGUCAAAGUAGUAAAGAAAGUAGAAAUAGGAGCAAUAGCAGUUGAAGUAGAGGGGAAAGUUCUAGUUCAAUUGACAUUAGCAGUAGUUGUCGUACUUGAGGUAGGAUUUUGUUUGAAUGAUGGAGUAAUGCAUAAAUAUUAAAACUAAUUUAAAACAGGGAAAUUUUAAAUUAUCAAAAGUCCUCAAGUAUCAGAAAGUUUUGAAGUAUUAGAAAGGUUUGAAUCAGUUUGAAUGAGUUUAAAUUAGUUUGAAAAAUUAAAUGAUAAAUCAUCACUGACUGACUUUUAAAAUGUGAAAAAUUUAAAUGAAUAACAAUCCUAAAUACACCCAAUAAUGUCCUCAAUGAGCUUAAAUUUCAAAGCCCUGAAUGGUUUCUGUAGGUCAAAGGUCAUGUGAGGAGAUAGGGGCUGAAGUUUUUUCCAACGCUCUAGGAAAGGGUUUUAAGUGUCAUCCCAAUUGCUAUGUGUACUGAGCCUGGCUUCAUGUGUCUCAUAUGGCCACUAGAAGCAGCUUUCCAGUCAGCUGUGUGUCUCCAGGUGCACAAAUUGGUUGCCAUGGGGACCUUGGAUGCAUAACUAUAGCAGGAGAAAGAAGGCUUGAAGCUAAAGAAACAGGACUCCAAGUAGGCCCUGACGCUCACCCUCUGUAUAUAUUCAUAAGGAGCUUGUGAGAACACAAGACUCUGCUGAACACAUUAAUACAAUUUAUUAUCACAAUCCUCAAAACACCCCAUAAUAUCUUCAAUGAGCUGAAUUUUUGAAGCCCAGAAUGGUUUCUGUAGCUCAAAGUUUGUGGGUGGAGAUAGGUGGUGAAGCAGACACAUAUUAACUGUGUGUACAAGCAGCUGAACUGCAAGGUGGACCUCAAAAAGCAACAAGUACAAGAAGGUGUGUGUGCGUGUGUGUGUGUGUGUGUGUGUCUCGUUAAUGACUGCAUCCUAAACAGCUGUGAGAUCAAAGGCAAAUCACUAACCUACUGUUUGACUGAGAGGUGCUGAACUGCAGUGAAUUUCAGCCUGUGAACUUCUUCACAUAGCGUGAUUUCCUUAAGUCCCAGAAUGAAAAUAAGAACAUCGUACGAAUCCUCCGUCCUUCAUGAACACAAUGAUGUGUUUUUCAUGUCUGUACUUCGAAAAAUGAGGCCACAACAGCGAGUUAAAAAAGUCUGAGCUUGAGCGAUGAUCCGGAUUUUCUUGGAGAAAAAUAACAUUACAGUCAAUGGGAGAGAUUUCCGCCUUUUUUGGACAGUUGGUCACCUGCUGGCCAAGGGGUAGGAUUUAAUGAUUUGAAACCUCUUUUGUGAGAAGCAGGACACAUAUACCUCCAUUUUGAUGUAUUAU
Molecule: long non-coding RNA, 7150 nt
Filed under: Xyrichtys novacula (pearly razorfish)
Lineage: Eukaryota; Metazoa; Chordata; Actinopteri; Labriformes; Labridae
Source: RNAcentral